Molecule: ribosomal RNA, 777 nt
Filed under: uncultured Neocallimastigales
Lineage: Eukaryota; Fungi; Neocallimastigomycota; Neocallimastigomycetes; Neocallimastigales
Description: partial large subunit ribosomal RNA
Rfam family: Eukaryotic large subunit ribosomal RNA
Source: RNAcentral
AGAGAGAGACAUGCGCGCAUAUCAAUAAGCGGAGGAAAAGAAACUAACAAGGAUUCCCCUUAGUAACGGCGAGUGAAGCGGGAAGAGCUCAAAUUUGAAAUCUUCAAGGUUUUACCUUGACGAAUUGUAGUUUAAAGAAGUGUUUUCUGCUGAAGUUUUGGUAAAAGUUCUUUGGAAUAGGACAUCAUAGAGGGUGAGGAAUCCCGCUAUUUGACCAUUAUUUUCAGCUUUGUGAUACACUUUCAAAGAGUCGGAUUGUUUGGGAAUGCAGGUCCAAAAUGGGUGGUAAAUUUCAUCUAAAGCUAAAUAUUGGCGAAGACCGAUAGCGAACAAGUACCGUGAGGGAAAGAUGGAAAGAACUUUGAAAAGAGAGUUAAACAGUACGUGAAAUUGUCAAAAGGGAAGCGUUUGACACCAGUGUUGUUUUCUCGAAAAUCAAUUAAAAAUGGCUCGAUUUUGUAUUGCUGAGACCUUAAAAGCUCACUGUACAUUUUUCGUGUCUUUUUUAAUGCACUUUUCGUUUAACAAGUCAACAUCAGUUUCUUUUGUUGUAAAAGGGUCAUUGGAAGGUGGCUUUCUUUUCGGAGAAAGUGUUUAUAGCCUUUGGCCUCUGCAAUCGAAGAGACUGAGGUCUGCAGCGUAGACUCUUCGGGGUUAGAUACAUUUGUGCUAAGUUAUAGCUUUUUAUAGACAACUUGUUGACUAUAAUUAGUCUUGUAGCUUACUCGCUUAUGCUAUUUUACCUACGCUUAGGAUGUUGAAGAUGUAGCACAUCAU